This 609-nucleotide ribosomal RNA is filed under the name Rotylenchus incultus. RNAcentral describes it as "eukaryotic LSU rRNA". It matches the Rfam family "Eukaryotic large subunit ribosomal RNA", at positions 545 to 910 of the family's 3401-position model. Lineage: Eukaryota; Metazoa; Nematoda; Chromadorea; Rhabditida; Hoplolaimidae. The record is from RNAcentral.
GUUGCCGCUCUCCAGAUUGGGACGGUGCUCUGCUCUGCUGCUGGGUUUGUGGUGCAUUUGCAGGUGGAGUGCGCCGAGGCGCUCGGGUUCAGCGGCAUGAGCCCAGUUUUGAGGCCAGCCUCGCAAGAGGUCUGGUACCCGGACUGUUUGGGGAGUGCUGUUUGGCCUGGGUGUACAAAAAGGGUAAUGGAAUCGGGCCCGGGUGGGUGUCGAGCUGGCAGUCGGUGGCGGUCGCAUGCGACACGCGCCAGCGGUCAGUUCGGUCCUGCUCGAGCUCACAUCUGCCCGUCCUCGGUGUAAAAGCCGGUCAUCUGUCCGACCCGUCUUGAAACACGGACCAAGGAGUUUAGCGUGUGCGCGAGUCAUUGGGCGUUGAAAACCCAAAGGCGCAAUGAAAGUGAAGGUCUCCCUUGCGGAGCUGAUGUGUGAUCCUGGGCGCUGCGGUGCCCGGGCGCAACAUAGUCCCGUCCCGACUGCAUGCAGUGGGGCGGAGACAGAGCGUACGCGCUGAGACCCGAAAGAUGGUGAACUAUUCCUGAGCAGGAUGAAGCCAGUGGAAACUCUGGUGGAAGUCCGAAGCGAUUCUGACGUGCAAAUCGAUCGUCUGAC